RNAcentral lists this ribosomal RNA (230 nucleotides) under uncultured bacterium. Its description in RNAcentral is "partial 16S ribosomal RNA". It matches the Rfam family "Bacterial small subunit ribosomal RNA", at positions 125 to 354 of the family's 1533-position model. The record is from RNAcentral.
UCUGCCCUGGAGUGGGGAAUAACGGCUGGAAACAGCCGCUAAUACCGCAUGAUGCAGUUGGGAGGCAUCUCUCUGACUGCCAAAGAUUUAUCGCUCUGGGAUGAGCUCGCGUCUGAUUAGCUGGUUGGCGGGGUAACGGCCCACCAAGGCGACGAUCAGUAGCCGGACUGAGAGGUUGGCCGGCCACAUUGGGACUGAGACACGGCCCAGACUCCUACGGAAGGCAGCAG